Molecule: small RNA, 125 nt
Filed under: Marmota monax (woodchuck)
Lineage: Eukaryota; Metazoa; Chordata; Mammalia; Rodentia; Sciuridae
Source: RNAcentral
GCCAGGUGUGGUGGUGCACGCCUGUAAUCCCAGCAUCUUGGGAGGCUGAGAUAGGAGGAUCGGGAGUUCAAAGCCAGCCUCAACAAUGUUGAGGUGCUUAGCAACUCAGUGAGUCCCUGUCUCUA